RNAcentral lists this ribosomal RNA (471 nucleotides) under uncultured organism. RNAcentral's name for it is "partial 16S ribosomal RNA". It matches the Rfam family "Bacterial small subunit ribosomal RNA", at positions 335 to 797 of the family's 1533-position model. The record is from RNAcentral.
ACUCCUGCGGGAGGCAGCAGUGGGGAAUUUUGGACAAUGGGCGAAAGCCUGAUCCAGCAAUGCCGCGUGAGUGAAGAAGGCCUUCGGGUUGUAAAGCUCUUUUGUCAGGGAAGAAACGGUGAGAGCUAAUAUCUCUUGCUAAUGACGGUACCUGAAGAAUAAGCACCGGCUAACUACGUGCCAGCAGCCGCGGUAAUACGUAGGGUGCAAGCGUUAAUCGGAAUUACUGGGCGUAAAGCGUGCGCAGGCGGUUUUGUAAGUCUGAUGUGAAAUCCCCGGGCUCAACCUGGGAAUUGCAUUGGAGACUGCAAGGCUAGAAUCUGGCAGAGGGGGGUAGAAUUCCACGUGUAGCAGUGAAAUGCGUAGAUAUGUGGAGGAACACCGAUGGCGAAGGCAGCCCCCUGGGUCAAGAUUGACGCUCAUGCACGAAAGCGUGGGGAGCAAACAGGAUUAGAUACCCGGGUAGUCCCA